This 241-nucleotide long non-coding RNA is filed under the name Erythranthe guttata (spotted monkey flower). RNAcentral's name for it is "long non-coding RNA (EGUT_LNC003323)". Lineage: Eukaryota; Viridiplantae; Streptophyta; Magnoliopsida; Lamiales; Phrymaceae. The record is from RNAcentral.
UAAAUAGUUGAAUAAGAAUUACACUUACUUGGAAGUAGAAAUUAACCGGAAAUAUGAAGAACGAAAAAUCGACUGAGGCUUGCAAAAGCAAUGUCCUUAAGACAAUAUUUCCGGGCUGUCUACGGUGCAACAGUCACUCCCGGUAGUCUCCCAAGAUACAACAGUCGGAUACUUCGAUAUUUGCACAAAUUCGAAGCCCACGGCGAACUAGAAACGUAGGAACGAAAUUUUGACAGAAGAG